UGAACAUACAAAUUUUUCCCUGCCUGAUGUUAAGUAACUACAGGUACCAGGUAGACUACAAGUCUACAACUACAACAUUACAUAACAGGGAUGGAACAAUUACACUCAAAUGAACACUUGAACAGCAAGAGUCGGCCUGGCUAAUCAUAGCCCCAGUAAACCAUAACAACAGUUAAAUCAUCCGUCCAAGAUUGUCCACCCUCAAGAAGUGCAUGUUGUGCAAAUUCCCCAAUAUAUCCUCGGAUGCAUCAACAUCGAUAUGAAAGUUGCCGAUAUCUUCAACUCCGCCAGCACCGCUAACAUUAACCCUACCAGUGCCAUCUGUAGCAUGUGCUGCCUCAUUUAUGUUAAUUCUCCUCACCUCCUCGGCCCUUCCAUCUCCAGCGUUCUCAUCCCCAGCCCAGCCUUCCUGCCCGAGCAUCGAAGAAUCAAUGCCACUCUCCACACCAAGAGAACGUCUCCUGAGCCCUACCCCGACCUUCUUGCGGGCCGUCGUCUUCUUGAUCCUACCUCUAGAAGAGCCACCACGAGCACUGUCAUUCUGUGGCUGCCUACCACCAUGGUUUCCGUGACUCCUACCACCACCACCUUGGCCACUGGGAGCCGUGUUCCAAGGGAACAUCUUGUAGAAUGGCUUCCAGUUGGCACCCAGGUCGGCCGCGUUGGGAAAUCCGAGGGGGAAGAACCCCCAGGCGCAGUGGUACAUUUCAGUGCCCGGCACAACCGUGGGUGGGGUCGGGAGCUCAGAAGCCACGAAUCCGCGGCGGCAGCCCGCGUUGGGGCACUUGAGGGCGCGCCCGAUCAGGCUGCGCGGGUACUGGUGCACGUAGCAGCAGAAGGGGCACGCCGUCCAGAACUCCGGGGUGUCGGAGGCGGGAGCGGCCGCGGCGGGAUACUGGGAGGAGUAAGGGGUACCAGUGGCGGGAUCGGCGGGCGGCGGGGGGCGGCGAGAGGGAUCCGAGAGGAAGGCGUAGGCGUCGUUGACGAGGCGGAGCGCCAUCUCGGCUCCCGGGUGCGGGUUGCUGGGACCGAGGAGGAGCGCGAGGCGGCGGAAGGCGCGGGACACGGCGGCCUGGUCGGGGCUGACUCCGGGCGGCAGCUGGAGGAUGGCGAGCGGGUCCGGCUGGCCCGAGGUGCCCAUGAACUGGGAAGCGAGGAGGACGUCGGCGACGGCGAGGAGUUCGUCAACGCCGGCGAGGAGCGGGUUCGCCUCCACCGACCGCUCCGCGAAGCGCUUGCAGCCGACGAGGUCGCGCGCCGCGAGGAGCUUCUCGGCGAUCUCCAGCCAGCGCUCCGCCUGCGCGGGGCCGUCGCUGGCGCCUCCGCCGCCCCCGCUCACGCUCCCGCCGGUGGAGAAGUCCAUGGUUUGGGGGAGGAAAAGGUGGAUGCUGUCGGAGGCAGCUGGUUUGGUUUUGGGGAGGGGGAAGAUCCUGCUGCCCGAGGGGCUCUUGACUGGCGACUGUCUGUCAGUCCGAGAGUAUUUUGUUGGGCAGCACAUUUAAUUUUAAG
RNAcentral lists this unclassified non-coding RNA (1509 nucleotides) under Zea mays. RNAcentral describes it as "misc RNA Zm00001eb019150". Lineage: Eukaryota; Viridiplantae; Streptophyta; Magnoliopsida; Poales; Poaceae. The record is from RNAcentral.